GGUGAGAUGGCCGAGUGGUCUAAGGCGCUUGACUUAAGUUUAACUUAGCUCUCAAGUAUCGAAAGAUGCGUGGGUUCGGUACAUACUCCCACUAUCAUUG
Non-coding RNA from Tothia fuscella, 100 nucleotides. NCBI's taxonomy places the organism in Eukaryota, Fungi, Ascomycota, Dothideomycetes, Venturiales, Cylindrosympodiaceae. The record is from the annotation of a GenBank genome assembly.